UACGUAGGGUGCGAGCGUUGUCCGGAAUUACUGGGCGUAAAGGGCGCGUAGGCGGCCUUCUAAGUCGAACGUGAAAUCCCCGGGCUCAACCCGGGAACUGCGUCCGAUACUGGGAGGCUUGAAUCCGGGAGAGGGAUGCGGAAUUCCAGGUGUAGCGGUGAAAUGCGUAGAUAUCUGGAGGAACACCGGUGGCGAAGGCGGCAUCCUGGACCGGCAUUGACGCUGAGGAGCGAAAGCCAGGGGAGCAAACGGG
RNAcentral lists this ribosomal RNA (253 nucleotides) under uncultured bacterium. RNAcentral's name for it is "partial 16S ribosomal RNA". It matches the Rfam family "Bacterial small subunit ribosomal RNA", at positions 524 to 776 of the family's 1533-position model. The record is from RNAcentral.